This 489-nucleotide ribosomal RNA is filed under the name uncultured bacterium. RNAcentral's name for it is "partial 16S ribosomal RNA". It matches the Rfam family "Bacterial small subunit ribosomal RNA", at positions 29 to 504 of the family's 1533-position model. The record is from RNAcentral.
AGUGAACGCUGGCGGUAGGCCUAACACAUGCAAGUCGAACGGCAGCACAGUAAGAGCUUGCUCUUACGGGUGGCGAGUGGCGGACGGGUGAGGAAUACAUCGGAAUCUACUUUUUCGUGGGGGAUAACGUAGGGAAACUUACGCUAAUACCGCAUACGACCUACGGGUGAAAGCAGGGGAUCUUCGGACCUUGCGCGAUUGAAUGAGCCGAUGUCGGAUUAGCUAGUUGGCGGGGUAAAGGCCCACCAAGGCGACGAUCCGUAGCUGGUCUGAGAGGAUGAUCACACACACGGGAACAGAGACGGUGCACAGACCCACGGGGGGGGCAGGAGUGGAGAAUAGGGGACAGGGGGCGAAAGUCUGCUCCAGCCAUACCGCGGGGGAAAAAAGGCCUUUGGUGUUGAAAACCCCUUUUGUGGAGAAAAAAAAGCAGCAGGUUAAUCCCCCGGUUUUCGGACGAUACAAAAAAAAUAAACACCGGAAAACUUC